Molecule: ribosomal RNA, 465 nt
Filed under: Vreelandella stevensii
Lineage: Bacteria; Pseudomonadati; Pseudomonadota; Gammaproteobacteria; Oceanospirillales; Halomonadaceae
Description: partial 16S ribosomal RNA
Rfam family: Bacterial small subunit ribosomal RNA
Source: RNAcentral
CCUACGGGAGGCAGCAGUGGGGAAUAUUGGACAAUGGGGGCAACCCUGAUCCAGCCAUGCCGCGUGUGUGAAGAAGGCCCUCGGGUUGUAAGGCACUUUCAGUGAGGAAGAACGCCUGGUGGUUAAUACCCAUCAGGAAAGACAUCACUCACAGAAGAAGCACCGGCUAACUCCGUGCCAGCAGCCGCGGUAAUACGGAGGGUGCGAGCGUUAAUCGGAAUUACUGGGCGUAAAGCGCGCGUAGGUGGCUUGAUAAGCCGGUUGUGAAAGCCCCGGGCUCAACCUGGGAACGGCAUCCGGAACUGUCAAGCUAGAGUGCAGGAGAGGAAGGUAGAAUUCCCGGUGUAGCGGUGAAAUGCGUAGAGAUCGGGAGGAAUACCAGUGGCGAAGGCGGCCUUCUGGACUGACACUGACACUGAGGUGCGAAAGCGUGGGUAGCAAACAGGAUUAGAUACCCUAGUAGUC